UGGGGAAUAUUGGACAAUGGGCGAAAGCCUGAUCCAGCCAUGCCGCAUGAGUGAAGAAGGCCUUUGGGUUGUAAAGCUCUUUUAGUGAGGAAGAUAAUGACGGUACUCACAGAAGAAGUCCUGGCUAACUCCGGGCCAGCAGCCGCGGUAAUACGGAGAGGGCUAGCGUUAUUCGGAAUUAUUGGGCGUAAAGGGCGCGUAGGCUGGUUAAUAAGUUAAAAGUGAAAUCCCGAGGCUUAACCUUGGAAUUGCUUUUAAAACUAUUAAUCUAGAGAUUGAAAGAGGAUAGAGGAAUUCCUGAUGUAGAGGUAAAAUUCGUAAAUAUUAGGAGGAACACCGGUGGCGAAGGCGUCUAUCUGGUUCAAAUCUGACGCUGAAGCGCGAAGGCGUGGGGAGCAAACA
This 402-nucleotide ribosomal RNA is filed under the name uncultured bacterium. RNAcentral describes it as "partial 16S ribosomal RNA". It matches the Rfam family "Bacterial small subunit ribosomal RNA", at positions 355 to 774 of the family's 1533-position model. The record is from RNAcentral.